RNAcentral lists this ribosomal RNA (460 nucleotides) under uncultured bacterium. Its description in RNAcentral is "partial 16S ribosomal RNA". It matches the Rfam family "Bacterial small subunit ribosomal RNA", at positions 338 to 795 of the family's 1533-position model. The record is from RNAcentral.
CCUACGGGUGGCUGCAGUGAGGAAUAUUGGUCAAUGGGCGAGAGCCUGAACCAGCCAAGUCGCGUGAAGGAUGACGGCCCUAUGGGUUGUAAACCUCUUUUAUAAGGGAAUAAAAUGUGGCACGUGUGCUGUUUUGCAUGUACCUUAUGAAUAAGGAUCGGCUAACUCCGUGCCAGCAGCCGCGGUAAUACGGAGGAUCCGAGCGUUAUCCGGAUUUAUUGGGUUUAAAGGGAGCGUAGACGGGUUGUUAAGUCAGUUGUGAAAGUUUGCGGCUCAACCGUAAAAUUGCAGUUGAUACUGGGAGUCUUGAGUACGUGUGAGGCAGGCGGAAUUCGUGGUGUAGCGGUGAAAUGCUUAGAUAUCACGAAGAACCCCGACUGCGAAGGCAGCCUGCUAAGCCGUGACUGACGUUGAUGCUCGAAAGCGUGGGGAUCAAACAGGAUUAGAUACCCCAGUAGUC